RNAcentral lists this long non-coding RNA (963 nucleotides) under Homo sapiens (human). Its description in RNAcentral is "non-protein coding lnc-FEZ2-7:4". Lineage: Eukaryota; Metazoa; Chordata; Mammalia; Primates; Hominidae. The record is from RNAcentral.
CUCUUCCCGAUCUCCUCCUCCCCGAGCCCGGCGCACCGAGCCGGCCGUGCCACCGAGCUGCGGCUCUGGCCCCGGCGCCGCGGGUGCGCUGCGGAUGGGCUUGGGGCGCACCCAGCGAGCAGCGAGAGUCGCGGUGUCCCGGGCGCUCGCUGGCACCGUGGCCGCAGCGGCCGGCCUGGGAGCCAGGAGGGCGAGGCGGCUGCACCUUCGGGGCCAGAUUGGAGUUCGAAGAGUGGCGGGUACCCCAGAAGCUCGGGGCCGGGGCGAUGGCUGCAGCCUCGGGAGGGUAUCGCCGGAUCGAACUCCGGGAAAGGGAAGCAAAGGCAUGGAACCUCCGCACACUGGAUGAGAAUCCAUCUUCCAUUCGAGCUGGGAAUAGACUUUGUGAAAGAUAUUAUGUAAUGGAGUCUCGGGAACCCUGAGACCUCUCCAGCGAAGCUGAAGUGAAUUAAUUAAGUGCUUUAAACGGUCUUGGUGCUGUGUUACGGGAGAGAGUGACUGGAAAGUAACAAAGCUGAAUCUUUCUCCCUGGAGUAAGGCCGAAGACUGGAUUACUACACGCCUAGACGUGACACUACACCCAUAGAUCUCAUGCAUCAUUAAUGCCAUAUGACAUUGCCAUUUUCUUUCUCAGUUCACGGACAAAAGUGGUGGGUUUUCAUUGUCUUCACUGAUUGUCAAUGCAUUAAUAAAGAAGAUGUGUGGUACAUAGUCUUUGUGAUAAAUCAGGUAAAGAAGCAACGGAAGUGAUGCAAAAUGCACGGUGUGGAGAUGGUUUCUCUUCAGUGGUUGUCAGAAAAGGUUUUCGUAAUGAUGGCUCUGUCAUUGAUGGGAUAUGAAGUAGUAAUCCGCUCCGUAGUGACCUACCAUUCACAAGAUGGGUACCAGACCAGACUAUGGUUACAGAAAGAGUUUGGGUGAGCCCAACAUGAUGACAAUCAGGUGUCACGGGUGAAAGUGGAC